CAGGAUCACCAAGGUCUCUCCUGCCCCGGGGCCUGUGCACCUGCUGUGCCUCUGCUUGGGGUGCUCUUCCCAGGGCUCGCUCACCUCCUCAGAGAGGACUCCUGACCCCUGACACGCCUUGCCCUUCACCUCUAUCGUCCUUUAGAACAGCCCCCACCUCCCGCACAUCAUGCAGUUGCAGGUUCAAUGGCUACUGCUUGUCCUCCAGAUUCGAAAGUAACUCGUGAGCUCUCCACAAGCCAACAGCUCUCUCCUGGCUUUGAUUUUCAACCAUUUAAGUUGAAAAAAAUUCAAAACAAAUGAAAUGCACUUAAGAGAAAGCCUUGAGGAGUUCAGCAGGCCACCCGAAGUGAAGGGACUCCUUUGGGGGUCUUUGUUGUUAUCAAUUAUUUAUUGAGCCCUGAUGUGUUCCUGGCGCCACCAAGACCGAGAGGAGACAGGGUCCCUGCCCUGGGGCAUCCCAACAAAGAAGGGAGAGUUUGUGAAGCUUAAAAAUGUCCCAGAUGAGUUUCGCUCUUAUUGCCCAGGCUGGAGUGCAAUGGCGCGAUCUCGGCUCACUGCAGCCUCCACCUCCAAGGUUCAAGCAACUCCCGUCUCAGCCUCCCUGAGUAGCUGGGAUUAUAGGCGCCCGGCUAAUUUUUUGUAUUUCUAGUAGAGACGGAAUUUCGCCAUGUUGGUCAGGCUGGUUGCUUACAUUUCUUUAUGUCAUAAAGCAGGCUUCAAAACGGAAA
This is a long non-coding RNA of Gorilla gorilla gorilla (western lowland gorilla), 731 nucleotides long. RefSeq lists it as uncharacterized. The transcript has 3 exons. The record is from RefSeq and is a predicted model, not a curated record. NCBI's taxonomy places the organism in Eukaryota, Metazoa, Chordata, Mammalia, Primates, Hominidae.